GGGAAUAUAUCUUAGUGGUAAGGAGCUUGUCUAGUGUACACAAAAGCCUGGGUUCAAUUCCCAGUACUUA
Molecule: transfer RNA, 70 nt
Filed under: Neotoma lepida (desert woodrat)
Lineage: Eukaryota; Metazoa; Chordata; Mammalia; Rodentia; Cricetidae
Rfam family: tRNA
About the family: Transfer RNA (tRNA) molecules are approximately 80 nucleotides in length. Their secondary structure includes four short double-helical elements and three loops (D, anti-codon, and T loops). Further hydrogen bonds mediate the characteristic L-shaped molecular structure. tRNAs have two regions of fundamental functional importance: the anti-codon, which is responsible for specific mRNA codon recognition, and the 3' end, to which the tRNAs corresponding amino acid is attached (by aminoacyl-tRNA synthetases). tRNAs cope with the degeneracy of the genetic code in two manners: having more than one tRNA (with a specific anti-codon) for a particular amino acid; and 'wobble' base-pairing, i.e. permitting non-standard base-pairing at the 3rd anti-codon position.
Source: Rfam by way of RNAcentral